GCGUCGGUAGCUCAGGGGUAGAGCAGGAGACUCUUAAUCUCUUGGUCGUGGGUUCAAAUCCCACCCGACGCACCA
RNAcentral lists this transfer RNA (75 nucleotides) under Patescibacteria group bacterium. Its description in RNAcentral is "tRNA-Lys". It matches the Rfam family "tRNA". Rfam says of the family: Transfer RNA (tRNA) molecules are approximately 80 nucleotides in length. RNAcentral also lists the same sequence under 1 other name. The record is from RNAcentral.